AGAGUUUGAUCCUGGCUCAGGAUGAACGCUGGCGGAGUGCCUAACACAUGCAAGUCGAGCGGCAGCGCGAGUAGUUUACUACUUGGCGGCGAGCGGCGGACGGCUGAGUAACGCGUGGGAACAUGCCCCAAAGUGAGGAAUAACUGCCCGAAAGGGUAGCUAAUGCCGCAUAUGAUCUUCGGAUUAAAGGAUUUAUCCGCUUUGGGAGUGGCCUGCGUACGAUUAGAUAGUUGGUGAGGUAAUGGCUCACCAAGUCUACGAUCGUUAACUGGUUUGAGAGGAUGAUCAGUCAGACUGGAACUGAGACACGGUCCAGACUCCUACGGGAGGCAGCAGUGAGGAAUCUUCCACAAUGGACGAAAGUCUGAUGGAGCAACUCCGCGUGCAGGAUGAAGGCCUUCGGGUCGUAAACUGCUUUUAUGAGUGAAGAAUAUGACGGU
This 440-nucleotide ribosomal RNA is filed under the name uncultured Candidatus Saccharibacteria bacterium. RNAcentral describes it as "bacterial SSU rRNA". It matches the Rfam family "Bacterial small subunit ribosomal RNA", at positions 8 to 458 of the family's 1533-position model. Lineage: Bacteria; Candidatus Saccharimonadota. The record is from RNAcentral.